This 869-nucleotide long non-coding RNA is filed under the name Zalophus californianus (California sea lion). RNAcentral's name for it is "lncRNA (ENSZCAG00015000307.1)". The record is from RNAcentral. Lineage: Eukaryota; Metazoa; Chordata; Mammalia; Carnivora; Otariidae.
GAGCAGCCUGGCAGCGGUAGCGGCGGCGGCGGCAGCAGCCACCCGGGGGGAAAGAGCCGGGGGAGGGAGGGGAGGCGGGGUGAAGAGGAGGAGGAGGAAGGGGAGGAGGGCGGGCGGAAUAAACUUCCCGAGGCGCAGCGGCACGGGCUGGGAGGGCGGCCGCGGGCGGGGCGGGCGGCCCGGGGGGAGGCUCGCCCUAGGGGAGGCUUGCCCGAGGGGCGGCGGGGGAGACGGUCACAGAGAGUAGAAAAGUUCCCCCGGCGCGGAGGGGGAGGCUGCGGCGGCGGCGGCGGCUGCAAAGAUCAGGAGCCGGAGCGGGAGGAGCGGGAGGAGGAGGAGAAGGAAGUGGCUGCGGAGCGCUCGGCCAAUGAGUGUCUGGAGCUGUGAUUAACCAGGCAGCAACACAUCAUUUCCUCCCGGCGCGGAUCCAGGGAGCCGGGAGGGAGAGGGAAGGCGGCGGGGCGGGGCCGUCCCCGCGCCCCCUGCAGGCGCCCGGCCGGGGGCGAGCCCGCCGAGCCCCACCGAGCCUGGCCGUCCCACCCCCGGCGCGCCCGGCGCGGUCUGGCGGGCCCGGAGGAGGCUGCGAGCGCGCCGCCCGCGGGGCUUCUCAGAGGCGGGGCGGCGGCGGGGCAGGCCCGAGCCGGGCUCCCGCGGCCGGGGUGGGAGGAGGAGAGGCCGCGCGGCGCGGGACUGAUGGUAGCCACCUUCUAACCACAAGAAGAGUCAGUCUGAAGAAAACAGAGGAUGGCAGAGUUCAAAGAAGAGCAGAGAAAUAGAUCUCCAGCUCCAAUGGUGUACAUUGAGGAAUCUGUCCUCUCCGACAGACAAGAUUCCCCAGCACACAUCCAACAGUGAUGCUCCCUGCCAAG